GAUGAACGCUAGCGGCAGGCCUAAUACAUGCAAGUCGAGGGGUAACAUGGUCUCGGACUGAUGACGACCGGCGGACGGGUGCGUAACGCGUAUGCAACCUACCCACUACAGGGGGAUAGCCCGUGGAAACAUGGAUUAAUACCCCAUAAUACAGGGGGCUCACAUGAGUCUAUUGUUAAAGAUUUAUCGUAGUGGAUGGGCAUGCGUCUGAUUAGCUAGUUGGUGGUGUAAUGGACCACCAAGGCGACGAUCAGUAGGGGGGUUCUGAGAGGAUGAUCCCCCACACUGGCACUGAGAUACGGGCCAGACUCCUACGGGAGGCAGCAGUAGGGAAUAUUGGUCAAUGGGCGAGAGCCUGAACCAGCCAUGCCGCGUGCAGGAAGACGGCCUUCUGGGUUGUAAACUGCUUUUAUCAGGGAUGAAAAGACCUUUGCGAAGGGGCAUGACAGUACCUGAGGAAUAAGCACCGGCUAACUACGUGCCAGCAGCCGCGUAAUACGUAGGGUGC
Molecule: ribosomal RNA, 508 nt
Filed under: uncultured bacterium
Lineage: Bacteria
Also listed under: 1 other name
Description: bacterial SSU rRNA
Rfam family: Bacterial small subunit ribosomal RNA
Source: RNAcentral